This is a long non-coding RNA of Gorilla gorilla gorilla (western lowland gorilla), 7294 nucleotides long. RefSeq lists it as uncharacterized. The transcript has 9 exons. Lineage: Eukaryota; Metazoa; Chordata; Mammalia; Primates; Hominidae. The record is from RefSeq and is a predicted model, not a curated record.
AUCUGCCGCCAGUCGGCGUGCCUGCAGCUGUUGGCUUGACCCCAGGCCGGGACGGGCGGAGCGGAACACUGCCCGGCGGGCCCAGGCCGACCGUGCCUGUGGCUCUCCGGAACAAUAAACCCCCGGCCCCAGUGAUGUGGGCCAGACCGGACCUGGAGAGGCGGCACCGCGACCCCUCCCUCAACCCGCCUGGCGGCCGGGGGCAGCGUGACCCGGCCCGCUACCGUGUCACAGCUGGCGACUGACAAACAGCAGGCGACGUCAGGAGAACUCCCCGAGACACCCGAGACAUCAGCCUUCUCGCUCCGCGGCCCUGCAGGACCUGCCCGCCGGGAGCCCCGGAGUCCGCGGCAGCGCCGAGGGCCCCUCCCCCAGGCCUCUAGGCUCUGAGAAUUUUGAAUCGGAUUUUACCAGCAAUUGGUAACGGAAAGGAAAGGAUGUGUCUUCCAAUUGAGAAACAGUGGUUAAAAACUGAAAUGUGGGCCGGGUGCAGUGGUUCACGCCUGUAAUCCCAGCACUUUAGGAGGCCGAGGCGGGCGGAGUAACUGAGGUCAAGACUUCGAGACCACACUGGCCAACAUGGCGAAACCCCAUCUCUACUAAAAAUACAAAAUUUAGCCGGGCGUGGUGGCGCACGCCUGUAAUUCCAGGCUCAUCCAUGGAAUACCAAUUCUUUUUCUUAGUGUUCACAUUGGAUUUUUCUGUUAAAAAUAGAUUGUUAGAGUUGGCUAACAAGUUGAUGACUUCCAGUCAAGCACUCUCUUCUGUAAAGUCUCUUUUGUAAACUCCUACAAGCAGCUAUUUCACUGGAUUUGAAAAGACUGGUUAAAAAGAACCAUGCACUGUAACUCUCAAGUAUACAGGAAUAUUGUUAUUAGGUCGCAGUGAGCCAAGAUCAUGCCACUCCACUCCAGCCUGGGUGACAGAGCAAGACUCCGUUUCCAAAAAAAAAAAAAACUGAAAAUACCAAAUAUUGACAAGGAUUUGGAGCAAGUGGAACCCUCAUACAUUGCUGAUGGAAAUGCAAAAUUAUACAGCCAAUUUGGAAAAAUAACUGGGUGUGGUGGUGCACCUAUUUUUCCAACAACUUGAGAGACUAAGGUAGGAGGAUCCCUUGAGCCCAGGAGUUUGAGGUUACAGUGAGCUGAUGGCGCCACGGCUCUCCAGCCUGGGUGACAAAAUAAAACUGUCUCAAAAAAAAGAAAAAAAAAUGAUGCUAUAAGAAAAAAACUAUAUACCAAUGUCCUUCAUUAACAUAGAUACAAAAUGUUUAAUCACAAUUUUAGCAAAUUGAAUCCAACUGUCUCCCCCACCCCCACAUCUAUCUAUAUAUCUAUAUUUGUUUGUUUUGAGACGGAGUUUUGCUCCUGUUGCCCAGGCUGGACUGCAAUGGCAUGAUCUCGGCUCACUGCAACCCCCACCUCCUGGGUUCAAGUGAUUCUCCUGCCUCAGCCUCCCGAGUAGCAGGGAUUACAGGCAUGCCCCACCACGCCUGGCUAAUUUUGUAUUUUUAGUAGAAACGGGGUUUCACCAUGUUGGACAGGCUGGUCUCAAACUUCUGACUUCAAGUGAUCCGCCCGCCUCAUCCUCCCAAAGUGUUGGGAUUACAGGCGUGAGCCACUGCAUCCGGCCUUUUUUUGUUGUUGUUGUUUUUUUUUGAGACAGGGUCUUGGUCUGUCACCCAGGCCAGAGCGAGUCUCAUGGCUCACUGUAACCUCCGCCUCCUGGGCUCAAGGAAUCCCACCUCGGCCUCCUGAGUAGCUGGGACUAUAGGCACAAGCCACCACACCUAGCUAGUUUUUGUUUUGUUUUGUUUGAUUUGGUUGGUUGUUUUUUUCUUUUGUUUUUGUUUUUGUAGAGAUGGCGUUUUGCCAUGUUGCCCAGGGUGGUAUCAAACUCCUAGGCUCAAGUGAUCCACCCACUUCAGCUUCCCAAAAGGCUAGGAUUGUAAUCACAUCUGUAGGCAUGAGCCACCACGCCUGAUAAAUCUAACAAUACAUUAAACGUAAAAUACCAGGCCAGGUGCGGUGGCUCACACCUGUAAUCCCAGCAGUUUGGGAGGCCAAGGCGGGUGGAUCACCUGAGAUCAGGAGUUCAAGACCAGCCUGACCAACAUGGUGAAACCCCAUCUCUACUAAAAAUACAAAAAUUAGCUGGGCAUGGUGGCACACGCCUGUGGUCCCAGCUACUCGGGAGGCUGAGGUGGGAGAAGGGACUAGCCUUGUCUCAGAUGAGUCUUUGGACUUCUGAGUUAAUGCUGGAAUAAGUUAAGACUCUGAGGGACUAUUGGGAACACAUAAUUGUAUUUUGCAAUGUGAGAGGGACAUGAGAUUUAGUGGGGCCAGGGGUGGAAUGAUAUGAUUUGGGUCUGUGUCCCCACUAAAUCUCAUGUCGAAUCCCCAGUGUUAGAAGUGGGGCCUGGUGGGAGGUGAUUAGAUUAUGGGGAUGGUUUCUCAUGAAUUGCUUAGUACCAUGCCCUCUUGUGAGUUCUCACAACAUCUGGUUGUUUAAAAGUGUGUAGCACCUCCCCACCCUCUCUCUUGGUCUAGCUCCUGCCAUAUAAAAUGCUGGCUCCUGCUUUGCCUUUCACCAUGAGUAAAAGCGUCCUGAGACCUUCUCAGAAGCAGAUGCUGCCAUCCUUCCUGUACAGCCUGCAGAACCAUGAGCAAAAUAAGCCUCUUUUGUCUAUAAAUUACCCAGUCUCAGCACAGGAUGGGACGUGCUGCUCUAUGGGACCUUCAGAAUCCAUGUAAGAGACCCCUAUGCCUAAGCCUCUCUGGAUGGGCUUCAGCUCCUCACAGCCAUCAGGGACCAUGCCCGGCCGGAUGCUGCCGCCUGGCUUCAGUGCCAUCUGCAUGUCCUCAGGGAUGACAAAGGACUCAUUAUACCAGAUGUCAAAUUCUACAAGGAGGUGAGGAGACAGAACUUGAGGAAGCCGAGACGGGGUCUCACUGUAUUGCCCAGGCUGGUCUCGAACUCCUGUACUCAAGCAAUCCACCCGCCUCAGCCUCCCAAAGUGCUGAGAUUACAGGCGUGAGCCACUUCGCCUGGCCUAGGAGAUAUGAGUUUACUUGAUCUGUUCAAGUAAAUUCAAUAAAAUAAAGACAGUCUUCAUCUGUCACCCAGACUGGAGUGCAGUGGCGCAAUCUUGCCUCACUGCAACCUCUGCCUCCUGGGUUCAAGCGAUUUUCAUGCCUCAGCCUCCCAAGAUGCUAGGAUUACAAGUGUGUGCCACCACGCCCUGCUCCUCUGAGAAAUAAAUGAGUAAAAUGCACCCCCUGUGAGUGAGAUGAUGCAUCUGACUUGCAGGAAUAAACCAAGUGACAUCUGGAGAUCACUCAUGGAAGCUGGCCUGGAACAGGGUUGUGAUUUAGUGAUGGAAAGCCCAGUAACCUGUGGUGUUUCCUGUCUGGAAGAAGACAAUAAGACUGAGCCAGGAGUGUGAAGAACAGUGUGGCCUCUGAACCACCUGUCCCAGAGUUGGAAUGGUCACUCACUAAAAUGCAGGUCCUGGGCCCUGCUCCAUCUCUCCCAAGUCAGAACCACUGGCUGAGGGGCUGGGAAUCUGCGCUUGACCAGCCCUCUCAGAUAAGUCAUCUGAACACGCAAGCUUGAUGGGCCUUGGCCCUCAGUGCAGGUGUAGGCGGUGCACGCCACCAGGACAAGGACACUGGGUCAGGGUAACCAGGUACUCUUUACAUGUUGAGGAUCACAUAUGGUUUUGUUUGAUCUGGUGCAGAAGCUAACAUUAGCUGAUUACCUAAUUGGGCGUAAUUCCUCCUUCGGGGAGUCUGAGGGAAGGGGCUCAAUGCUGGAAGUUUCCCGGUCCCGCGAAAGCAUGUCUUUGACAUCCCCAUCUUUGGAGGAUGGGACCAGCUGGGUCUUGGAGGUGGAAACGUAAUCCAAGUCCUUCCCAUUCACAGGGCUGCUGGCACCUUCCUUUCUUGCCAAGGAGCUGGAAGAAGGCACGGAAGCCCCAGGGUUCAGUCAUGGACAAUGAGGUAUCAGAUGCCAGGAUGAGUGACCUUUCUCAGCACUGACUACACUGGGAACCCCACCUCAUUCAGCUCCCAUCUUGUUCAUAUGCCUAGGUAAAAGCGCAAAUAGUGUGAUGCUAAGCCAGGCAGAUGUGGAGGAAGAAGAGGGCAUUUUUCUCCCUUUUAUCAGAACAAAGAGCCCUCGGUGGUCUUGGCAGGAGACGCUUGGGAAAAAUGGGUACAAUCUCCAUGGAUUGAAAGUGUACGGACCUGUAGGAUGGGCCACAGGUUCUCAGGAACCACCAUGGCUGCUGAGGUCUGAGUCAUACAGGCUUCCCUGGGAAGGACUGGCAGAGCCCCACACAGGGUGGUUCUGUCUGUGGACCAAUGGUAAAGCAGGAUGGCUCUGCCCUGCUGUUCUUACUGGUCCACACCCUGUUCUCCACACCAGCUCCCAGAAAAGUAGCUGUCCUCCCUGCCGAAGUGACAGUGCUUGGUGCCUUUCUCCGAGAAGAGGCAGAUCUGAGGACCGAACUGGCAGGAGGAUGCCCAUGGCUCUUCCCAAAGGUCUGAGGAUAGAAAAUCUGUUUCUUCCUCUUUCCUCCUCCUUGCAACGAGUGUGGCUCAGGGAACUGAGCCUCAACCCAUUGAAUACUGCACUGAUUAUCCGGAAGCAGAACAGAGAGGGUUGGGGUGUGACUGCACUCAUGAAGAGGCAGGAGGAAGCCAGGGACACUGGCAUCCUCUGCUGCCUGACUCUUGUCCUGCGUGUAACAGUUUUCUACAAUCAGCUCUGGCCUGUGGCCUGCGCUCACACACUCUUGCUCACAACAACCUCAAUGACUUGGAUGCUAUUAUUAUUAUUCCCAUUUUGGAGAUGCAGAAACAGGCACAGAGCGGUUCUCAUGUCUCACAUGGGGUGACCCCUUGGGUGUGAGAAGUGCAGAGCAGGGAAGGGAGCCCGGGCAUCAGCUCCAGAGCCUGUGCUCUUACCCACCACUACACAGCACCCUGGGAGGGCUCACUAAGUGAACCUAAAUGCUCUUCCCACCUUGCACAUACAAACGAGUCUUGCCUGAAAGGUGAACUGGAGUUUUAGGUGACCUGAGUGCCAGUCGGCGGGAAGACCCUAGUGAAGUGAGGGGAGGGGGUACAACAUAAAGUACCAGAGGGCAUGGGCUUGCUGCCAUUCCACUACUCAUUGGUGGUAUGGCCUUGGUGAGUGACUUCCCCUCUCUAAGCCUCUGUUUCUUCAUCAGUGUAAUGAAGACAUUAACUCCCACCUCACCAGGUUGCUGUGAGGACGAGAGAUGAUUCUUGUGGGGUUCCAAACCAGCCCCAGCCCGGGCCCCACAGACUUGCUAGUAUUGGCAGCAGUGAUGUCCAUUGUGCCAACCCAGUAGCUGAGACACCAGGGGGAAAGUGGGAACAGUGCACAUCCUCCCAUUCACCCACCGAGGAGGGCCAGCUGCUGAGGAGGCAGAGCGGCAAGGUCACUCACCUGAGUGGCUCUUUGAAUGUCUUCUUGGGCUUGGCUUUCUUCCCAGGUUUGGUAGAGAAAGGGGCGACUCCAAGUCCAAAGUUUUGACCUUCAGGCUCACCCACUAGGUGGCCAUCAACAUCCACAAGCCCCGCCUACAGAGAGGCCAGCCAAAGGUCUGUGAGUUAGAUUAAGGGCUUGGACCCCUUGGGGACCCACAUGUAUAUGGCCCAAGGCUCAGGGUGGACAUGUUCACCAUACACACCAAGGUUUGACAGCUGCUGAUGCCAGCCUCAGGCUGUCCCCAGUAGAGCGGUCCCUGACCACUCUGCCAAAUGUCCACUUUCCACAUGCACCCCCUCACCAGUAUGGCACCUCAUUCCAUACUCUGGGGAUCUUAAAGCUUAUUUCCAACCUAAUUCCAGGAAUUCAUCUUUAAUAUUAUUAUCCAUGUCUCUACCUUAUGGAAAUUAUUUUUAAUUCAAAAGUGGUUUACUCUUAACACAGGUCACCUGUGUUCAUUCUGGUGUUACCUUUAUCUGUUGCAAUCCUAGCUCUGGUUUAAUGCAUUAAUACUUGCUGGCUCUGCAAAGGUCUGAGGAUGGGAAAUCUGAGGUGAGUGCUGUCGGCAAGUAGCAACUAUGCUUACCUUCUGGAUAGCAGAAAUGGCUACCAAGUCAUUCCUGUCAAUGAGGGUGUACUUCCUGCGCAAAGUGGACUCCACUUCCUGUUCCUGUUGGCUUGGGAGACAGCAAGACAGAACAGCUUGUACCUGGGGCCAUGCUGAAUCCACUGGGGCAAGAACCAAGUACUGGGGUUAAAAGUCAUAUGGGUGAGGCCCCUUGUGUGGGGCCACACCUUCAUCAUGAACCAGACAUGACAAAAGGACAAAGGACUCACUUCCCCCUGCCCCAUUGCAUAUACCCACUGUCUGACCCCCAAACCCACAAGGGCCACCUUAUGCCAUGUGUGUCUGCUCCAAGAUGACACUUGAUAAGGACCAUAAGCUUUACUUGGGACCAUGUGGGGUUCUGUCUUAGGUUCUGUCUCUAAGAGGCCACUUGGAAUCACAUGACCAGCUUUAGUGACACCACCUAGCAUAAGCUGCUCAGACUAUGGGUAUGUUUGCACCCAAAUAAACCACAAAUGCCUCCUGAGGUGGGAGUGUGUGUUGCAAUAUUCACAAGGUGAAUAUUCACAAUACCCUGCUCUGGGCACUCUCAGAACUGGCACUCCAUAAACACCUCCUGUCCAAUUAAUGAACUCACUGAAUAUCCACCAGGGACCCAGGCAUGCCCCCGAGGACUCUGAUUUGGCUCUUCAUCCACAAGCAAGAAGAGGAUGCUCUUGGAGGCAAGUGCCCAGAUCGCAGGAGAUGAAAAUGGCAGCCUGAUGUAGGAAUGAGGUAGGGGUGGGGGUCUCUCACCUCAGAACCACCCGGAACUGGCUGAACACCUCCUUGAUCUGUCUAAGGCUGAUUAUCUGGAGGGAAGACGGCAAGGCAGAGGUUAGACCAAGGGCACCUAGAGGGACCAGGGGGCAUCUAUGUUAGUAGAGAAAUCAAGACCCCUUGGCUGACCCCUGGACCAUCUGUCUCGAGAAGAGGACAUGUGCACACAGCCUCUCAGCAAAGUGGCAGCCAAGCCCUCCUCCAGAGCAGAGAAACAUCUGAUUAAUAAUUUUAAAACUAAGUAUUUGCUGAGGCUAUAAAAACCACCUUUUCUAAGUGGAGACCUCUAUAAAAUGAAAUGAUUCUAUACCUUGAAAAUACCUUCUAAGGUUUUUUUGUUUUUUUUUUAAUAAAAUGUAUUUCUCCAGCUUUCUCUUACUUCCAAAA